ACUCCUACGGGAGGCAGCAGUGGGGAAUAUUGCACAAUGGGCGCAAGCCUGAUGCAGCAACGCCGUGUGAGUGAAGAAGGUUUUCGGAUCGUAAAACUCUGUCCUAAGGGAAGAAACAAAUGACGGUACCUUAGGAGGAAGCCCCGGCUAACUACGUGCCAGCAGCCGCGGUAAUACGUAGGGGGCAAGCGUUAUCCGGAAUCACUGGGCGUAAAGGGUGCGUAGGCGGCUUAGCAAGCCAGGGGUGAAAGGCAUUGGCUCAACCAAUGUAAGCCUUUGGAACUGUUAAGCUUGAGUGCAGGAGAGGUAAGUGGAAUUCCUAAGUGUAGAGGUGAAAUUCGUAGAUAUUAGGAGGAACACCAGUGGCGAAGGCGACUUACUGGACUGUAACUGACGCUGAUGACACGAAAGCGUGGGUAGCGAACAGGAUUAGAUACCCUGGGAGCACAGAG
This 452-nucleotide ribosomal RNA is filed under the name uncultured bacterium. RNAcentral describes it as "bacterial SSU rRNA". It matches the Rfam family "Bacterial small subunit ribosomal RNA", at positions 335 to 799 of the family's 1533-position model. The record is from RNAcentral.